This 433-nucleotide ribosomal RNA is filed under the name uncultured bacterium. RNAcentral describes it as "partial 16S ribosomal RNA". It matches the Rfam family "Bacterial small subunit ribosomal RNA", at positions 29 to 507 of the family's 1533-position model. The record is from RNAcentral.
AGCGAACGCUGGCGGCAGGCCUAACACAUGCAAGUCGAACGAACUCUUCGGAGUUAGUGGCGGACGGGUGAGUAACACGUGGGAACGUGCCUUUUGGUUCGGAAUAACUCAGGGAAACUUGUGCUAAUACCGAAUGUGCCCUUCGGGGGAAAGAUUUAUCGCCAUUAGAGCGGCCCGCGUCUGAUUAGCUAGUUGGUGAGGUAACGGCUCACCAAGGCGACGAUCAGUAGCUGGUCUGAGAGGAUGACCAGCCACACUGGGACUGAGACACGGCCCAGACUCCUACGGGAGGCAGCAGUGGGGAAUCGUGCGCAAUGGGCGAAAGCCUGACGCAGCCAUGCCGCGUGAAUGAUGGAGGUCUUAGGAUUGUAAAAUUCUUUCACCGGGGACGAUAAUGACGGUACCCGGAGAAGAAGCCCCGGCUAACUUCGUG